RNAcentral lists this ribosomal RNA (447 nucleotides) under uncultured bacterium. RNAcentral's name for it is "partial 16S ribosomal RNA". It matches the Rfam family "Bacterial small subunit ribosomal RNA", at positions 338 to 795 of the family's 1533-position model. The record is from RNAcentral.
CCUACGGGUGGCUGCAGUGGGGAAUUUUCCACAAUGGGCGAAAGCCUGAUGGAGCAACGCCGCGUGUGUGAUGAAGGUCUUCGGAUCGUAAAGCACUUUCGACUGGGACGAAAAACCUUUGGCUAACAUCCAGGGGCCUGACGGUACCAGGAGAAGAAGCACCGGCUAACUCUGUGCCAGCAGCCGCGGUAAUACAGAGGGUGCAAGCGUUGUUCGGAAUUAUUGGGCGUAAAGCGCGCGUAGGCGGCUUGUCAAGUCAGAUGUGAAAGCCCUCGGCUUAACCGAGGAAGUGCGUCUGAAACUGCUGGGCUUGAGUCUCGGAGAGGAUGGCGGAAUUCCGCAAGUAGAGGUGAAAUUCGUAGAUAUGCGGAGGAACACCGGUGGCGAAGGCGGCCAUCUGGACGAGCACUGACGCUGAGACGCGAAGGAUUAGAUACCCGGGUAGUC